GAUUCAGCGUGACUCGAUAGCGGCGCUAAAUGAUCGUGCGACGAACGGCGUACGCGUCGUUCGCGCCUUUUGUUUAUGCGAACCGAAGUCGAACGCGUGCACUUCUCCCCCAGUAGGACGUCGCGAUCCUUUGGGUGUCGAUCUAAGGCCCGCGGUGGAGCCCGUUCGAACGGUUCGCCGUUUCGGACGAACCCGCGGUGUUUCCCGGUCGACUCGCUCGAAGGUAUGCAUAUGGCGCCGGGCCGCUACACAGUUAGCGUCCGACCAUUGGCAAGCGCGUUCGUUUAUGACGGUAAUCGCACCUGGUGUCGGUUCUGUCUACGAAUGGCUGUUCGCCAAUGAGUUCUCGGACAGACUCGGUUGAAACGCCGAUCUGCGACGCUAUAGCUUUGGGUACUUUCAGGACCCGUCUUGAAACACGGACCAAGGAGUCUAGCAUGUGCGCGAGUCAUUGGGACAUGACUAAACCUAAAGGCGCAAUGAAAGUGAAAGUUCGUCUUGCACGGACUAAGGGAAGAUGGGCGGCCGUUACGGCUGUCGCCCCGCACUCCCGGGGCGUCUCAUUCUCAUUGCGAGAAGAGGCGCACCAAGAGCGUACACGCUGGGACCCGAAAGAUGGUGAACUAUGCCUGGUCAGGACGAAGUCAGGGGAAACCCUGAUGGAGGUCCGUAGCGAUUCUGACGUGCAAAUCGAUCGUCGGAACUGGGGUAUAGGGGGCGAAAAGACUAAAUCGAAACCAUCUAGUAGCUGGGUUCCCUCCGAAAGUUUCCCUCAGGAUAGCUGGCGCUCGUCGCUUUACGAAGUUUUCAUCCCGGUAAAAGCGAAAUGGAUUAGAAGGCAUUGGGGGUCGAAAACGGGCUUCAACCCUAUUUCUCAAAACUUUUAAAAUGGG
Molecule: ribosomal RNA, 893 nt
Filed under: Tribolium castaneum (red flour beetle)
Lineage: Eukaryota; Metazoa; Arthropoda; Insecta; Coleoptera; Tenebrionidae
Description: partial large subunit ribosomal RNA
Rfam family: Eukaryotic large subunit ribosomal RNA
Source: RNAcentral